RNAcentral lists this ribosomal RNA (468 nucleotides) under uncultured bacterium. RNAcentral describes it as "partial 16S ribosomal RNA". It matches the Rfam family "Bacterial small subunit ribosomal RNA", at positions 28 to 507 of the family's 1533-position model. The record is from RNAcentral.
GACGAACGCUGGCGGCGUGCUUAACACAUGCAAGUCGAACGGAAAGGCCCUGCUUUUGUGGGGUGCUCGAGUGGCGAACGGGUGAGUAACACGUGAGUAACCUGCCCUUGACUUUGGGAUAACUUCAGGAAACUGGGGCUCAUACCGGAUAGGAGCUCCUGCUGCACGGUGGGGGUUGGAAAGUUUCGGCGGUUGGGGAUGGACUCGCGGCUUAUCAGCUUGUUGGUGGGGUAGUGGCUUACCAAGGCUUUGACGGGUAGCCGGCCUGAGAGGGUGACCGGCCACAUGGGGACUGAGAGACGGACCAGACUCCUACGGGAGGCAGCAGUGGGGAAUAUUGCACAAUGGGCGGAAGCCUGAUGCAGCAACGCCGCGUGCGGGAUGACGGCCUUCGGGUUGUAAACCGCUUUCGCCUGUGACGAAGCGGGAGUGACGGUAAUGGGUAAAGAAGCACCGGCUAACUACGUG